This 413-nucleotide unclassified non-coding RNA is filed under the name Artemisia baldshuanica. RNAcentral's name for it is "partial external transcribed spacer". Lineage: Eukaryota; Viridiplantae; Streptophyta; Magnoliopsida; Asterales; Asteraceae. The record is from RNAcentral.
GUCGUAAAGGUGCAUGAGUGGUGUUUGGUUUGUUACGUGUGGUUGGCUGCGGCGUUUGCAACAACUUCCAUGCUUUCAGACCUCUUCAGUUGUGCGGCAAGGCUUGUAUCGCCUUGAGCGUAUUGUGGGUUUUCUGUGUUGGCUACCUAAUCAAUGGUAUCGGUUGGAUUGAUCAAUGUUUCAUUUCGUCUACCGUCGCAUUCGCGGCGUGAGAUGAACCUUGAUGCGGUCUCUUUGAUCCACCUCGUCGAAGCGCAUGCUUUGGCGUUGUGGCACAUUGAGCAUUGCUUGGUCUCUUGUAUACGGAACAUAUAGUGGGCAUGGAUCUAACGAUUCUCGUUUGCCCUCGUAUUAGCGUAACGCUUCUCUUACACGACUUGCACCACGUUUUAGCUCGUACGGACGUGGUGCUA